This 1119-nucleotide long non-coding RNA is filed under the name Fukomys damarensis (Damara mole-rat). RNAcentral describes it as "lncRNA (ENSFDAG00000023560.1)". Lineage: Eukaryota; Metazoa; Chordata; Mammalia; Rodentia; Bathyergidae. The record is from RNAcentral.
GCUAAGUUGGCUAGGCAGGGAUUGAACUUGCAUUUCUCCUUCCUAGGCCUCCCAAGUAUCCGGGGUUACAGGCGUGCACACUGCGCCUGACCAGUGGAUGUGUUUUUAAUGGGUAGAAUGUAAGUGCAGCAGGAGGCUGAGGCAGGGAGCAGGACACAGCAGUGUGAGAAGGUCCCCCUUUUGGGUCAUAGUCUGCGACACACUGACAAACUUCUUGGGGCGGGGCGGGGGAGGCUGGGACUGGUGUUUGGGAGACGGAGUUCUUGGCUCACUUAUUCUCCAUCCUCAGGCAAAUCACCUCGAGUCCUUCAAUGCCAGGACAGGAUUCCCACAAAUUCGCGUUUUGCUGGAAGGGCCUAUGAAAUACUACCAACGCUAGGUGGUGCAAGUGCACAGCGGAUCUGCCCUGGGGCAAUGACGAAACAGCCAGGUGCUAGAGAACAAAUCUGACAGAGAGGGGAAGGCCCUGGGAACAGAUCCAACCUGUGCCAGCCCCCUACCACCACCGCUCCACCCCCACCUGUUCCAGGUAGUGAUGCGGUUCACCUGACAGAGAAUUGGCCUGUUCUGGGAUACCCAGGUCUUGUCAACCUGUCACUGGCCCAAUCUCAGCCUGGGGACCUCUUCUUCAAUCUCAGGCUGUGUUUGGGCUUUGCCUCAGUUUCCCAGUGUGUCUCAGAGCUCCGGUCCAGAAGGGGCAAAAUACCACCAAGAAGCUGUAUACCUGCCCUCUGCUUGGAGGUUGGAGGACCCUGAGCAGCCUCUGCUUCUCUGCUGAUGAGACCCUGGGUGGCCACAGGCUGCUCUGAGCCUUGGUUCAGGCUGCUCGCUGCAUCCUGGACCCCAGGUUCCCUGCCUGCCUUGAGGACCUCACGAUGGAAGGAGCAACUGUCAGUGCUGCUUGGUGACAUGGCUGGGGUGUCUCAGCACAGCUGUCAGGAAAAGAAGCGGCUCAGGCUCCUGCAUGUUAGAGCUCACCACCAAAGCCACCAGGUCCCGAGAGUCCCUUUGAGACAGGUUUCUUGGUCUCCUUCCCCAAGCCCACUGUUACGGUGGAGGAGCUUCUCAUUCUUCUGCUCUGCCUCAGACCCACGGUCCCUGCCGUGGAGAUCCUUCUAG